Nerophis ophidion (straightnose pipefish) is the source of this 1303-nucleotide long non-coding RNA. RefSeq lists it as uncharacterized. NCBI's taxonomy places the organism in Eukaryota, Metazoa, Chordata, Actinopteri, Syngnathiformes, Syngnathidae. The record is from RefSeq and is a predicted model, not a curated record. The transcript has 3 exons.
UGGAGGCUGGUCAUCAGCCAGGAAGCAAACACACAACUAACUUACUAGCUAAACGAACAAACAAAUACUUACCCUUGGCCGCCGAACCGAGCAGACUCAUGAGAGACACAACAACGGGGACCAGAAGCCAAGAGGAGCCCAUUAUUGCCAAAACAAAAUGUUUGUCCUGAAGGCUUGGAGUCAGUCUACGGUAACGAGUCGGAGCAACAAGCCGACCUCGAAGGCUUACUGAGCGGAUUAAAAACUCGGGAGCUUGCUUGUGUGGGGAAAAAAGCUCUAACAAACGCUGCGGUGUCUCCUCUCUUCUGAGCGUGAACAGCGCCGGACUGACCGUUUUAUUGACGCUUCUUGAGCCUGCCGUGGCGAGACGAGGCAGCAGCUCUGCUUCAGAGGCAAACAGCUCCUUGUAGAGAGGCGGGAAGAGAGUGUGAGCGAUGAGCGGGUAGCGCUGACUGAACCAGCGCAACUUCUCCAUGUGCAGACUGCACAGUGAACGCAACACAGACAUCCUCUGGCCGUGCAGGUGUACCUAAUAAAGUGGCGUACCUGCAUUGAUCAGGACCAGAGCGCUGAAGAGAGCCACCUGCUGCUCGGUGAGCUUCAAAGCGCAGACGCUGUGAGCAAAGUCGAAAACGGCGGCAAUCAAAUCGGCGCACGCUGCAAGAGAAGACGUGUAUUUUAUCAUUGAGGUGGAAGAACGUUCUAAGAGCACGUUUGAGCAGACGUGACCUCACCCAAAGACUUGAAGACUUCGGUUCCAGCAAAUUUGCCAUCAAAAAAGACGGUGUUGUUCUCUGUGUUGAAGAAGCGACUCAUCCUCACCAGAACGACCUCCAUAGAACCUGAAGAAACAGCAGAUAGACUGUGAUUCAACCUUUUUGGACGACGAAUGAGUGAGUCCAUGCAAGGUGACCUCACCGGUCUUCAGAAGGGCGAUCUGGUCGUUCUGGCUGAGCAGACGGAAACCAGGGAUGUGUUUGGCAAACUCCACCACAAACUGCACGGCAUCCGUCAGCCGAACCGCACAGUGUUGCCACAUCUCAUCCACCGACUGAGGGAAGAAGAAUUCUCUUUAUCAAAAUGAUUGAAUCUGACCAACACAGAAAAUUAGAAACUACACAUUCCACCACAAAUGCUACAAUUGUACAUUUUGUUGCUUUUUUGCUAUUAAAAUUUUUUGGGUGUUUUCUUGAUUGUCUUUUGUUUGUUUGUUGGUUACUUUGAUACAAUAUACCUGUGGUUUUAAAAUGUUUUUCACCAAGUACCACCUCAGAAAAAACGUGACUAUCCAAGCACAACCAUA